This 253-nucleotide ribosomal RNA is filed under the name uncultured bacterium. RNAcentral describes it as "partial 16S ribosomal RNA". It matches the Rfam family "Bacterial small subunit ribosomal RNA", at positions 524 to 776 of the family's 1533-position model. The record is from RNAcentral.
UAUGUAGGUGGCAAGCGUUGUCCGGAUUUAUUGGGUUUAAAGGGUGCGUAGGCGGUCAAUUAAGUCAGUGGUGAAAUACGGCAGCUUAACUGUCGUGGUGCCAUUGAUACUGGUUGACUUGAGUACUGAUGAGGUAGGCGGAAUGCACGGUGUAGCGGUGAAAUGCGUAGAGAUCGGGCGGAACACCGAUAGCGAAGGCAGCUUACUAAGGAGUAACUGACGCUGAGGCGCGAAAGUGUGGGGAGCAAACAGG